This 918-nucleotide ribosomal RNA is filed under the name uncultured bacterium. RNAcentral describes it as "bacterial SSU rRNA". It matches the Rfam family "Bacterial small subunit ribosomal RNA", at positions 10 to 922 of the family's 1533-position model. The record is from RNAcentral.
AGUUUGAUCCUGGCUCAGGAUGAACGCUAGCUACAGGCUUAACACAUGCAAGUCGAGGGGCAGCAUGUCGGUUGCUUGCAACCGAUGAUGGCGACCGGCGCACGGGUGAGUAACGCGUAUCCAACCUACCCUUGUCCAUCGGAUAACCCGUCGAAAGGCGGCCUAACACGAUAUGCGGUUCUCAGCAGGCAUCUAACGAGAACGAAAUGUGAAGGAGAAGGAUGGGGAUGCGUCUGAUUAGCUUGUUGGCGGGGUAACGGCCCACCAAGGCUACGAUCAGUAGGGGUUCUGAGAGGAAGGUCCCCCACAUUGGAACUGAGACACGGUCCAAACUCCUACGGGAGGCAGCAGUGAGGAAUAUUGGUCAAUGGACGAGAGUCUGAACCAGCCAAGUAGCGUGCAGGAUGACGGCCCUAUGGGUUGUAAACUGCUUUUAUAGGGGGAUAAAGUGUGCCACGUGUGGCAUAUUGCAGGUACCCUAUGAAUAAGGACCGGCUAAUUCCGUGCCAGCAGCCGCGGUAAUACGGAAGGUCCGGGCGUUAUCCGGAUUUAUUGGGUUUAAAGGGAGCGUAGGCCGUUUGGUAAGCGUGUUGUGAAAUGUCGGGGCUCAACCUGGGCAUUGCAGCGCGAACUGUCAGACUUGAGUGCGCAGGAAGUAGGCGGAAUUCGUCGUGUAGCGGUGAAAUGCUUAGAUAUGACGAAGAACUCCGAUUGCGAAGGCAGCUCACGGGAGCGCAACUGACGCUGAAGCUCGAAAGUGCGGGUAUCGAACAGGAUUAGAUACCCUGGUAGUCCGCACGGUAAACGAUGGAUGCCCGCUGUUGGCUUGAAUUAGUCAGCGGCCAAGCGAAAGCAUUAAGCAUCCCACCUGGGGAGUACGCCGGCAACGGUGAAACUCAAAGGAAUUGACGGAAGGGC